CCGGCGACGUCGCGAGAAGUCCACUGAACCUUAUCAUUUAAGAGGAACGGAUAAGUCGUAACAAGGUUUCCGUAGGUGAACCUGCGGAAGGAUCAUUG
Molecule: ribosomal RNA, 98 nt
Filed under: Acacia calcicola (shrubby wattle)
Lineage: Eukaryota; Viridiplantae; Streptophyta; Magnoliopsida; Fabales; Fabaceae
Description: partial small subunit ribosomal RNA
Rfam family: Eukaryotic small subunit ribosomal RNA
Source: RNAcentral